RNAcentral lists this long non-coding RNA (1304 nucleotides) under Equus caballus (horse). RNAcentral describes it as "lncRNA (ENSECAG00000048039.1)". The record is from RNAcentral. Lineage: Eukaryota; Metazoa; Chordata; Mammalia; Perissodactyla; Equidae.
GUGGAUGUUGAAGAGGAGGUGACACUUGAUGUGAGGGUGUUUGUCUCAAGCCUGGGAGGGUGUUCUGGGCCUUGGUGCCUGCGCUGGAGGAGUUGAAGUGGUUUGGAGGGCCUUAGAAAUCAGCUGGGUCAGUGGUUCUCAACUGGUGGUGAUUUUGGUAAUGUGUGAAAACAUUUCUGGUUGUCAUGAUGGAGGUAGGGGCGUGCUACCAGCCUCUAGUGGGUAGAACCCAGGGAUGAACAUCCUGUAACGCACAGGAGAGCUCCCCACAUCACAGAGUCAUCUCACCUAAAACGUCAACGGUGGCGAGGCUGAGAAAGCCCGAUCUUGGUAGCCCUGUAUUUACAGCUGUGUAAACAGGGUUCCAGGAGGCAAGGUGCCCUCCCCCAGGUAACACAGCUGGUGUAAGCAGAGAUGAGACGAGAACCAGGUUUGCUGCAAGGGUUGGGUGGGCUCUAAUCCAAUACGACUAAUGUCCUUAUGAGACGAGGAAAUUAACACAUGGAAAAGCACAGAAGGAAGACCACGUGAGGACACCAGGAGAAGAAGGCCACCUACAAGCCAAGGAGAGAGGCCUCAGAAGAAAGCAACCACACUGGCACCUUGAUCUCAGACUUCUAACCUCCAGAUUUGAUGUUCAGGUUGGCGGCAACAGUCCCCACCCUGUGCCAAAGGAAGGUUUCCAUCACUUCGAAUGGGAAGACACACUUGCGACCCCACUGUGCAGCCCUUGUGUGAUGAGAACUAUAUAAUGUUAUACCUCCUGUGCAAUUCCACGAAACAACCCCACUCUUCACCUACUCCUUGCAGCAGCGGCUGUGGUGUUGCUGUCUAAUUAUGCACAGUGUUGUGUGGGUGAUUUUCCUGAGUUGGACAGGACAGCUCCUCAAAGAAUUUUAUAUGUGUGUGUGUGUGUGUGUGUGUGUGUGUGUGUGUGUGUGUUCAGCCUUCCUCAGACCACCAAAAUAAAUCCUGUGCUUUCUUGCUCAAUUCUUACCUUUUUUGGUUCUAAUUGGAGAGUCAGGAAAGCAGUCUUUGGGUGGCGAGAGAAGGGGGAGGAGGACGAUAUCUGUGCCGGGCCUGGCGAUGGUGGGCCAGGUGUGGCUAAGAGUGGAAAGAAAGUUUCUCAAAAAAAAGUCAUUCUAAACUAUGUAUUUGGAUCCCGUUCAUGCUUUUUGAGAAAUGCAGGUAAAUAAUUUUUUAUUAUUUUUGGUUGUUAUAUUGUCUAUUUUGGCUAUGAUACUCCCCACAAAUAAACUAUGAAGACCCCUUACAAUAAAGAUUAUAUUUUAAUAAAAAGUAAA